GACGAACGCUGGCGGCGUGCUUAACACAUGCAAGUCGAACGGAAAGGCCCUGCUUUUGUGGGGUGCUCGAGUGGCGAACGGGUGAGUAACACGUGAGUAACCUGCCCUUGACUUUGGGAUAACUUCAGGAAACUGGGGCUAAUACCGGAUAGGAGCUCCUGCUGCAUGGUGGGGGUUGGAAAGUUUCGGCGGUUGGGGAUGGACUCGCGGCUUAUCAGCUUGUUGGUGGGGUAGUGGCUUACCAAGGCUUUGACGGGUAGCCGGCCUGAGAGGGUGACCGGCGACAUUGGGACUGAGAGACGGCCCAGACUCCUACGGGAGGCAGCAGUGGGGAAUAUGGCACAAUGGGCGGGCGCCUGAUGCAGCAACGCCGCGUGCGGGAUGACGGCCUUCGGGUUGUAAACCGCUUUCGCCUGUGACGAAGCGUGAGUGACGGUAAUGGGUAAAGAAGCACCGGCUAACUACGUG
RNAcentral lists this ribosomal RNA (468 nucleotides) under uncultured bacterium. RNAcentral describes it as "partial 16S ribosomal RNA". It matches the Rfam family "Bacterial small subunit ribosomal RNA", at positions 28 to 507 of the family's 1533-position model. The record is from RNAcentral.